CCGAGAUCAGAGUGUAGAUCUGAUCCCCCACGUGAUGACUCAGUCUGUGCCAGACACGGAAGAAAGCCAACACCUCAAGAGUCUCUGGGCCCCCCACCUCUGUGUUCUGGAACGAACCAGCCCCCACUCAGAGGGCCAUCCUCCUGACGGGGGGACAGGACCUCAACAUUUGUCAGCCUGCCCCCAACUACCUGGUGUGAGGCUAAGUUCCAGAUGGUUUCUUUACAGAAUGAGAGAGAUUGUGGGUUCCAGGGGGAUAGCUGUGGAUAUUUCCUCAAAUCAAAGCCAUGGUAUCCAGUUAGGGAAGGCUGUAACUUCUGACACCUCAGGACAUACACCAAACAAGCUGCAAAGAUUCCUGAAGGAAAAUCUCAAACAAUUGGGGGUGGCUCAGAUAAUGAUUGGUGUGAAAUUCAUCUUCUAUGGGAUAACUGGAACUACGGUCCUCCCUUACGUAAUACCCCAAACCAGCUUCUUCUCCUUUCAGAUAGGCUUCCCAAUAUGGGCAGCUUUAUCUUUCAUCAUUUCUGGAUCUAUGACAGUUGUGUCGGCAAAGAAACAAACCAAAGCUCUGCUGAGAGGCAAUCUGAGAGCGAACAUUCUCAGCGCAGUUGUGUCCAGUUUCGGAAUUCUAAUUCUUUCAUACAAUGUAGUAAAAAUCAUCUUCAUGAGCUGUGAGAUGGAAGAUUUAUGUUCCAGUAUCACAUCAGUUGUAACUCAGGAAGAUUGGAGGAUCACUGCUUCUGGACAAGUUGGAGUGACAGAGACUGGGCUCCUUCUUCCCCCUGAAACACCACCACCACCCGCAUCACGAGAAUAUAUGAAAAGAUGAGUUUUAAGACGCUGGACAUUGAUGGUGACAAAGAACUCAAUCCCUAACAAUGAUACAAACAAAGCAAGCCUGCUGACGACUUCCACACACGACUUGCAAGCAUUUCCAGGCCACAGUAUAGGAUUGGAGAAACCAGGUGGAACCAGGAAAACUCUGAUUUGAGGAAAGCAGGGAGCUGGGAGUCAGGAGAAACCAAUGCAUCUGGAGUUUGCAGGACAGAGCACUUGAGAAGAGAGAUCAGCAGAGGACUGGCAGCUGGGAUAAAUAUCUGGAGGAUACACAGAACUCUCCACAGCAAAGCACCAGCAAUCCAACUAACAAACGGGCAAAAGAUAUGAAGAGCCUCUGCUAAACUAACUAUGUGCAUCUGCCAAAUGGACACACGGAAAGGCAUUUAAUAGGACUAGACUAGACUUGAGGGGAAUAUGAAUUAAGGCCAUGACAAGGUGUGACGACCCACCUAACACAAUAUAUACGAUUGUAAAAACGGUGGCAACACUGAAUGCUGUCAAGGAUGUAGGAAAACUGGAUCUGCGCUGGAUUGCUGGGGGGAGUGUAAAAUGGUUCCUGGGAAAAUAUCCCUCAGAAAGUAUUUGUCAAUGUCCUGAACCACUAAAGAUACACUUAACACGCAACCCGGCAACCUCACUCCUCAGCAUCAAUCUCGGAGAAAUGAAAACUGAGUUCCGCCCAAAACCUGUACCUGGUGGUUCAUAGCAGCUCUUUAUGUCACGUGCAAAAACUGGGAAGAGCCAAGCGUCCUACGGCAGAUCAAUGAUCCCACUACGACACAUACAUACGACAGAAGACUGCCAGCACAUAGAAGGAUUGAACGACUGAUCCAUAAAACAGCUUCUCUGGAUCUAAAGAGCAUCAAGCUGAGUGAAACAGCCAAUCUCAAAACAUCACCAAUGGCAUGAUUUCAUGUCCACAGUAUUCUCAGAAUGACGGUACUACAGAGAUGGAGAACAGAUCAGUGGUUAAUGGGAGUAAGUGAUGGUGGAAGGAAAGGAAGAAUGUGUGGCUACAAGGGACGUCUUCGUGGAGACGGGAUGAUACUGUGACAUGACUGUGGGGGCGAUUACACAAAUCUAUGCACAUCGUGAAAUCUCACAGAACCACUCACACGUUAUACUGAUGUUCAUGUCCUGGUUUGGAUAUGUCACCAUAGACCCACACGAUAUAACCUUGGGGAGAAAGCGGAUAAGGGUAAAUGGGACCACCUUGUGCUUUCUUAGAUACUGCCUAUAACUUCCUAUAAUUAUUUCCAUUUAGGUUGAAAAAAAUGGGAAAAAAAGUGGAAAAGACACUUGAAAAAAGACAUAGAGAUGGCAAAUAAGCACACGGGAAGAUGCCACGAGUCAUUAAGAAAACACAAAUUAAGAUCACAGUUACUGGGCAGCUGGGGGGCUCAGUCAGUUAAGGGUCUGACUUUGGCU
Molecule: RNA transcript, 2271 nt
Organism: Suricata suricatta (meerkat)
Lineage: Eukaryota; Metazoa; Chordata; Mammalia; Carnivora; Herpestidae
Gene name: membrane-spanning 4-domains subfamily A member 3-like
Exons: 8
Source: RefSeq, a predicted model, not a curated record